Molecule: non-coding RNA, 115 nt
Organism: Xanthomonas translucens pv. undulosa
Lineage: Bacteria; Pseudomonadati; Pseudomonadota; Gammaproteobacteria; Lysobacterales; Lysobacteraceae
Source: Rfam
AAUACCUGUCGCGGAUCUCCUCCCAUCCCCUGGAGCAGAUCCAGGAACGGCGACUCCUCCCCAAGUCUCCGUUCCCUGGCCCCGCCGACCUCCCCCUGGUCCGCGGGGCUUUUUA